GACGAACGCUGGCGGCGUGCCUAAUACAUGCAAGUCGAGCGGACCGAACAGGAGCUUGCUCUUGUUCGGUUAGCGGCGGACGGGUGAGUAACACGUGGGUAACCUGCCCGUAAGACCGGGAUAACUCCGGGAAACCGGAGCUAAUACCGGAUAACACCGAAGACCGCAUGGUCUUUGGUUGAAAGGCGGCUUCGGCUGCCACUUACGGAUGGGCCCGCGGCGCAUUAGCUAGUUGGUGAGGUAACGGCUCACCAAGGCGACGAUGCGUAGCCGGCCUGAGAGGGUGACCGGCCACACUGGGACUGAGACACGGCCCAGACUCCUACGGGAGGCAGCAGUAGGGAAUCUUCCGCAAUAGACGAAAGUCUGACGGAGCGACGCCGCGGGAGCGAAGAAGGUCUUCGGAUCGUAAAGCUCUGUUGUUAGGGAAGAAGAAGCGUCGUUCGAACAGGGCGGCGCGGUGACGGUACCUAACGAGAAAGCCCCGGCUAACUACGUG
Molecule: ribosomal RNA, 499 nt
Filed under: uncultured bacterium
Lineage: Bacteria
Description: partial 16S ribosomal RNA
Rfam family: Bacterial small subunit ribosomal RNA
Source: RNAcentral